Molecule: ribosomal RNA, 311 nt
Filed under: Clostridioides difficile
Lineage: Bacteria; Bacillati; Bacillota; Clostridia; Peptostreptococcales; Peptostreptococcaceae
Description: bacterial LSU rRNA
Rfam family: Bacterial large subunit ribosomal RNA
Source: RNAcentral
UGUGAUGGGGAGCGAAAUUUAGUAGCGAAGUAGCUGAUUUCACACUGUCAAGAAAAGUCUCUAUCGAGGUUAAAGGUACCCGUACCGCAAACCGACACAGGUGGGUGAGGAGAGUAUCCUAAGGCCAGCGAGAGAACUGUUGUGAAGGAACUCGGCAAAAUGACCCCGUAACUUAGGGAUAAGGGGUGCCACCAUCAGGUGGCCGCAGAGAAUAGGCCCAAGCGACUGUUUACCAAAAACAUAGGUUUCUGCUAAGUCGCAAGACGAUGUAUAGGAGCUGACGCCUGCCCGGUGCUGGAAGGUUAAGGGGA